AAAUGAAUAAAUACGACGUUAAAUUUUAUUGUACGAUUUAAAGAUAACGUCGUAGAACUAUACGAGAAUGACGUCGAUAUAUUUAUAUUUUCCGUCGUUGUAAAUUAAUUUAAUACGGCGAUAUUUUGUAUUUUAAAGCCGUGGAUUUGUUUGUAAUUAUACCGCGUCUUAGACGAAAACCUCGUCGUGUUAUUUUAUGAGUAAAAAUGGCAGUUUUUAUUGAAAUCGUC
This 230-nucleotide long non-coding RNA is filed under the name Prunus persica (peach). RNAcentral's name for it is "long non-coding RNA (PPER_LNC004938)". The record is from RNAcentral. Lineage: Eukaryota; Viridiplantae; Streptophyta; Magnoliopsida; Rosales; Rosaceae.